RNAcentral lists this ribosomal RNA (2792 nucleotides) under Klebsiella pneumoniae. RNAcentral's name for it is "bacterial LSU rRNA". It matches the Rfam family "Bacterial large subunit ribosomal RNA". Lineage: Bacteria; Pseudomonadati; Pseudomonadota; Gammaproteobacteria; Enterobacterales; Enterobacteriaceae. The record is from RNAcentral.
UUAAGCGACUAAGCGUACACGGUGGAUGCCCUGGCAGUCAGAGGCGAUGAAGGACGUGCUAAUCUGCGAAAAGCGUCGGUAAGGUGAUAUGAACCGUUACAGCCGGCGAUGUCCGAAUGGGGAAACCCAGUGUGAUUCGUCACACUAUCGUUAACUGAAUACAUAGGUUAACGAGGCGAACCGGGGGAACUGAAACAUCUAAGUACCCCGAGGAAAAGAAAUCAACCGAGAUUCCCCCAGUAGCGGCGAGCGAACGGGGAGCAGCCCAGAGUCUGAAUCAGCUUGUGUGUUAGUGGAACGGUCUGGAAAGUCCGACGGUACAGGGUGAUAGUCCCGUACACCAAAAUGCACAGGUUGUGAACUCGAAGAGUAGGGCGGGACACGUGGUAUCCUGUCUGAAUAUGGGGGGACCAUCCUCCAAGGCUAAAUACUCCUGACUGACCGAUAGUGAACCAGUACCGUGAGGGAAAGGCGAAAAGAACCCCGGCGAGGGGAGUGAAAAAGAACCUGAAACCGUGUACGUACAAGCAGUGGGAGCACCUUCGGGUGUGACUGCGUACCUUUUGUAUAAUGGGUCAGCGACUUAUAUUCUGUAGCAAGGUUAACCGUAUAGGGGAGCCGCAGGGAAACCGAGUCUUAACUGGGCGUUAAGUUGCAGGGUAUAGACCCGAAACCCGGUGAUCUAGCCAUGGGCAGGUUGAAGGUUGGGUAACACUAACUGGAGGACCGAACCGACUAAUGUUGAAAAAUUAGCGGAUGACUUGUGGCUGGGGGUGAAAGGCCAAUCAAACCGGGAGAUAGCUGGUUCUCCCCGAAAGCUAUUUAGGUAGCGCCUCGUGAACUCAUCUUCGGGGGUAGAGCACUGUUUCGGCUAGGGGGUCAUCCCGACUUACCAACCCGAUGCAAACUACGAAUACCGAAGAAUGUUAUCACGGGAGACACACGGCGGGUGCUAACGUCCGUCGUGAAGAGGGAAACAACCCAGACCGCCAGCUAAGGUCCCAAAGUCAUGGUUAAGUGGGAAACGAUGUGGGAAGGCACAGACAGCCAGGAUGUUGGCUUAGAAGCAGCCAUCAUUUAAAGAAAGCGUAAUAGCUCACUGGUCGAGUCGGCCUGCGCGGAAGAUGUAACGGGGCUAAACCAUGCACCGAAGCUGCGGCAGCGACACUAUGUGUUGUUGGGUAGGGGAGCGUUCUGUAAGCCUGCGAAGGUGUGCUGUGAGGCAUGCUGGAGGUAUCAGAAGUGCGAAUGCUGACAUAAGUAACGAUAAAGCGGGUGAAAAGCCCGCUCGCCGGAAGACCAAGGGUUCCUGUCCAACGUUAAUCGGGGCAGGGUGAGUCGACCCCUAAGGCGAGGCCGAAAGGCGUAGUCGAUGGGAAACAGGUUAAUAUUCCUGUACUUGGUGUUACUGCGAAGGGGGGACGGAGAAGGCUAUGUUAGCCGGGCGACGGUUGUCCCGGUUUAAGCAUGUAGGCUGAUUGUCCAGGCAAAUCCGGAUAAUCAAGGCUGAGGUGUGAUGACGAGGCACUACGGUGCUGAAGUAACAAAUGCCCUGCUUCCAGGAAAAGCCUCUAAGCAUCAGGUAACAUCAAAUCGUACCCCAAACCGACACAGGUGGUCAGGUAGAGAAUACCAAGGCGCUUGAGAGAACUCGGGUGAAGGAACUAGGCAAAAUGGUGCCGUAACUUCGGGAGAAGGCACGCUGGUGUGUAGGUGAAGUCCCUGCGGAUGGAGCUGAGACCAGUCGAAGAUACCAGCUGGCUGCAACUGUUUAUUAAAAACACAGCACUGUGCAAACACGAAAGUGGACGUAUACGGUGUGACGCCUGCCCGGUGCCGGAAGGUUAAUUGAUGGGGUUAUCCGUAAGGAGAAGCUCUUGAUCGAAGCCCCGGUAAACGGCGGCCGUAACUAUAACGGUCCUAAGGUAGCGAAAUUCCUUGUCGGGUAAGUUCCGACCUGCACGAAUGGCGUAAUGAUGGCCAGGCUGUCUCCACCCGAGACUCAGUGAAAUUGAACUCGCUGUGAAGAUGCAGUGUACCCGCGGCAAGACGGAAAGACCCCGUGAACCUUUACUAUAGCUUGACACUGAACAUUGAGCCUUGAUGUGUAGGAUAGGUGGGAGGCUUUGAAGCGUGGACGCCAGUCUGCGUGGAGCCAACCUUGAAAUACCACCCUUUAAUGUUUGAUGUUCUAACGUUGGCCCCUGACCGGGGUUGCGGACAGUGUCUGGUGGGUAGUUUGACUGGGGCGGUCUCCUCCCAAAGCGUAACGGAGGAGCACGAAGGUUAGCUAAUCCUGGUCGGACAUCAGGAGGUUAGUGCAAUGGCAUAAGCUAGCUUGACUGCGAGCGUGACGGCGCGAGCAGGUGCGAAAGCAGGUCAUAGUGAUCCGGUGGUUCUGAAUGGAAGGGCCAUCGCUCAACGGAUAAAAGGUACUCCGGGGAUAACAGGCUGAUACCGCCCAAGAGUUCAUAUCGACGGCGGUGUUUGGCACCUCGAUGUCGGCUCAUCACAUCCUGGGGCUGAAGUAGGUCCCAAGGGUAUGGCUGUUCGCCAUUUAAAGUGGUACGCGAGCUGGGUUUAGAACGUCGUGAGACAGUUCGGUCCCUAUCUGCCGUGGGCGCUGGAGAAUUGAGGGGGGCUGCUCCUAGUACGAGAGGACCGGAGUGGACGCAUCACUGGUGUUCGGGUUGUCAUGCCAAUGGCACUGCCCGGUAGCUAAAUGCGGAAGAGAUAAGUGCUGAAAGCAUCUAAGCACGAAACUUGCCCCGAGAUGAGUUCUCCCUGAGACU